This 253-nucleotide ribosomal RNA is filed under the name uncultured bacterium. Its description in RNAcentral is "partial 16S ribosomal RNA". It matches the Rfam family "Bacterial small subunit ribosomal RNA", at positions 524 to 776 of the family's 1533-position model. The record is from RNAcentral.
UACGUAGGGGGCAAGCGUUGUCCGGAUUUAUUGGGCGUAAAGAGCGUGUAGGCGGUUGUGUCAGUUUGCGGGGACAGUGGGUGGCUUAACUACCCAAGGGUCGCAAAGACGGCACGACUGGAGAGCGAGAGAGGGACCUGGAACUCCGGGUGGAGCGGUGAAAUGCGUAGAGAUCCGGAAGAACACCACUGGCGCAGGCAAGGUCCUGGCUCGUAUCUGACGCUGAGGUGCGAAAGCUAGGGGAGCGAACGGG